This 253-nucleotide ribosomal RNA is filed under the name uncultured bacterium. Its description in RNAcentral is "partial 16S ribosomal RNA". It matches the Rfam family "Bacterial small subunit ribosomal RNA", at positions 524 to 776 of the family's 1533-position model. The record is from RNAcentral.
UACGGGGGGGGCAAGCGUUGUUCGGAAUUACUGGGCGUAAAGGGCUCGUAGGCGGCCAACUAAGUCAGACGUGAAAUCCCUCGGCUCAACCGGGGAGCUGCGUCUGAUACUGGAUGGCUUGAAUUCGGGAGAGGGAUGCGGAAUUCCAGGUGUAGCGGUGAAAUGCGUAGAUAUCUGGAGGAACACCGGUGGCGAAGGCGGCAUCCUGGACCGAGAUUGACGCUGAUGCGCGAAAGCCAGGGGAGCAAACGGG